UAGCGAAAUUCCUUGUCGGGUAAGUUCCGACCCGCACGAAAGGCGUAAUGAUUUGAGCACUGUCUCGACAAUGCAUCCGGUGAAAUUGAAGUACCAGUGAAGAUGCUGGUUACCCGCGCCAGGACGGAAAGACCCCAUGGAGCUUUACUCCAGUUUGAUACUGGGAUUCGGUACUGCAUGUACAGGAUAGGUGGGAGACGAAGAAGGAUGGACGCCAGUCUGUCCGGAGUCGCUGUUGGGAUACCACCCCUGUAGUACUGGGUUUCUAACCAGUUGCCAUGAACUGGCAAUGGGACAAUGUCAGGCGGGGAGUUUGACUGGGGCGGUCGCCUCCGAAAGGGUAUCGGAGGCGCUCAAAGGUUCCCUCAGAAUGGUUGGAAACCAUUUGAAGAGUGCAAAGGCAGAAGGGAGCUUGACUGCGACACCGACGGGUGGAGCAGGUACGAAAGUAGGACUUAGUGAUCCGGUGGUAUAAAGUGGGAUUGCCAUCGCUCAACGGAUAAAAGCUACCCUGGGGAUAACAGGCUUAUCACUCCCAAGAGUUCACAUCGACGGAGUGGUUUGGCACCUCGAUGUCGGCUCAUCGCAUCCUGGGGCUGUAGCAGGUCCCAAGGGUUGGGCUGUUCGCCCAUUAAAGCGGUACGCGAGCUGGGUUCAGAACGUCGUGAGACAGUUCGGUCCCUAUCUGUCGUGGGCGCAGGAUAUUUGAUGGGAGCUGUUCCUAGUACGAGAGGACCGGAGCGGACGUACCUCUGGCGCACCAGUUGUUCUGCCAAGGGCAUAGCUGGGCAACUAUGUACGGAUCGGAUAAACGCUGAAAGCAUCUAAGCGUGAAGCCGACCCAAAGAUAAGAUAUCCCAUUGUUUCAAACAAGUAAGACCCCUUGAAGACUACAAGGUUGAUAGGCACGAUGUGUAAGUGGAGUGAUCCAUUCAGCAAGCGUGUACUAAUAGGUCGAGGGCUUGACCAC
Molecule: ribosomal RNA, 970 nt
Filed under: human gut metagenome
Description: bacterial LSU rRNA
Rfam family: Bacterial large subunit ribosomal RNA
Source: RNAcentral